GUAAGACCUUUAACCAAAGUUUGGCAUGCGACGGGUAAGGUGACCUCUGACAUUUCACUAAAGUUUGGCAAGCGACAGGUAAGAUGACCUCUGACCUUUUACUAAAGUUUGUCAACCCAUUACCAGAGUUUGGCAUGCGAUGGGUAAAGCGACCUCUGACCCACUACCAGAGUUUGGCAUGCAACAGGUAAGGCGACCUCUGACCUUUUAGCAGAGUUUGCCAUGUGAAGAGUAAGGCGACCUCUGACCUUUUACCAGAGUUUACCAUGCGACGGGUAAGGUGACCUUUGACCCCUUACCAGAGUUUGCCAUGUGACACGUAAGAUGACUGCUGACACCUGCUGGAUGUGAUGUAAUUAAAGGGUAGGACCAAGAGAUGGGAAGUAUAGGACCGGUAAGAUGACCGCUGUAACAGAACCAUGGUUGUUUAGCAUUUUCGAUUCAACCAAGGAUAUAGACAAGCCUCUUACAGCAUUGUUAAGGGUCCUUGCAGAAAUGAGUAUAACAUUUGCCAUGUUGUCCUGAAACUACUAUGGCCACAACACAAUGUGACCUAAAUUCAGUUCUUUGGAAUGAGACGAGAAGU
Molecule: non-coding RNA, 586 nt
Organism: Styela clava
Lineage: Eukaryota; Metazoa; Chordata; Ascidiacea; Stolidobranchia; Styelidae
Source: RefSeq, a predicted model, not a curated record